GUGAACGCUGGCGGUAGGCCUAACACAUGCAAGUCGAACGGCAGCACAGUAAGAGCUUGCUCUUACGGGUGGCGAGUGGCGGACGGGUGAGGAAUACAUCGGAAUCUACUUUUUCGUGGGGGAUAACGUAGGGAAACUUACGCUAAUACCGCAUACGACCUACGGGUGAAAGCAGGGGAUCUUCGGACCUUGCGCGAUUGAAUGAGCCGAUGUCGGAUUAGCUAGUUGGCGGGGUAAAGGCCCACCAAGGCGACGAUCCGUAGCUGGUCUGAGAGGAUGACCAGCCACACUGGAACUGAGACACGGUCCAGACUCCUACGGGAGGCAGCAGUGGGGAAUAUUGGACAAUGGGCGCAAGCCUGAUCCAGCCAUACCGCGUGGGUGAAGAAGGCCUUCGGGUUGUAAAGCCCUUUUGUUGGGAAAGAAAAGCAGCAGGUUAAUACCCCGCUGUUCUGACGGUACCCAAAGAAUAAGCACCGGCUAACUUCGUG
Molecule: ribosomal RNA, 491 nt
Filed under: uncultured bacterium
Lineage: Bacteria
Description: partial 16S ribosomal RNA
Rfam family: Bacterial small subunit ribosomal RNA
Source: RNAcentral